This is a non-coding RNA of Arachis ipaensis, 391 nucleotides long. Lineage: Eukaryota; Viridiplantae; Streptophyta; Magnoliopsida; Fabales; Fabaceae. The record is from RefSeq and is a predicted model, not a curated record.
UUGUGCUAAACAAGCUUGUCUUUUUUUCUUUAAUCUAUUUAAAUCCUGCUUCCGGGUACAAGAGCCGGAUAAAUAGACAAUAUUAAAUUUUUUUUGUGUGCCUCAGGAAGCGGUAAAACAACCACACUAUCUCAACUUCAGGCUUUCAACAAUUCAAGCGUGCUAACCUACUAUUAGGGGGACUAUUACGUGAGCAAAUUACCACGCUGCCCGAACGAAUCAAUCUGUAUACCGGCUGAACUGAAACUCAGAUGGGUAAAAAGAAACUAGUAGAGACCCGGUGCUUGAUGAGCGGAUAAUUUAUACACUUUUUGGCAUUGUUUUUAGGUAAUUUCUAGCUGAAAUUGAGGGACCUGAGCAAAACUCUGAAAAGAAGGCUAACAAAGGACUG